RNAcentral lists this ribosomal RNA (3111 nucleotides) under Salmonella enterica subsp. enterica. RNAcentral describes it as "bacterial LSU rRNA". It matches the Rfam family "Bacterial large subunit ribosomal RNA". RNAcentral also lists the same sequence under 1 other name. Lineage: Bacteria; Pseudomonadati; Pseudomonadota; Gammaproteobacteria; Enterobacterales; Enterobacteriaceae. The record is from RNAcentral.
GGGUUGUGAGGUUAAGCGACUAAGCGUACACGGUGGAUGCCCUGGCAGUCAGAGGCGAUGAAGGGCGUGCUAAUCUGCGAUAAGCGCCGGUAAGGUGAUAUGAACCGUUAUAACCGGCGAUACCCGAAUGGGGAAACCCAGUGUGAUUCGUCACACUAUCAUUAACUGAAUCCAUAGGUUAAUGAGGCGAACCGGGGGAACUGAAACAUCUAAGUACCCCGAGGAAAAGAAAUCAACCGAGAUUCCCCCAGUAGCGGCGAGCGAACGGGGAGGAGCCCAGAGCCUGAAUCAGCAUGUGUGUUAGUGGAAGCGUCUGGAAAGGCGCGCGAUACAGGGUGACAGCCCCGUACACAAAAGCGCAUGUGCUGUGAGCUCGAUGAGUAGGGCGGGACACGUGGUAUCCUGUCUGAAUAUGGGGGGACCAUCCUCCAAGGCUAAAUACUCCUGACUGACCGAUAGUGAACCAGUACCGUGAGGGAAAGGCGAAAAGAACCCCGGCGAGGGGAGUGAAAAAGAACCUGAAACCGUGUACGUACAAGCAGUGGGAGCCCCACCACUAAGCCAGUGGUGAACUCCACAUCCGCAUCCUUUGCUGAGGAUACGGUUAACGGAGCGAAAGCGACGUUCAACCGCAAAACAAGCAGAGGGGGCUUAGUGGUGGGGUGACUGCGUACCUUUUGUAUAAUGGGUCAGCGACUUAUAUUCUGUAGCAAGGUUAACCGAAUAGGGGAGCCGGAGGGAAACCGAGUCUUAAUUGGGCGUUAAGUUGCAGGGUAUAGACCCGAAACCCGGUGAUCUAGCCAUGGGCAGGUUGAAGGUUGGGUAACACUAACUGGAGGACCGAACCGACUAAUGUUGAAAAAUUAGCGGAUGACCUGUGGCUGGGGGUGAAAGGCCAAUCAAACCGGGAGAUAGCUGGUUCUCCCCGAAAGCUAUUUAGGUAGCGCCUCGUGAAUUCAUCUCCGGGGGUAGAGCACUGUUUCGGCUAGGGGGCCAUCCCGGCUUACCAACCCGAUGCAAACUGCGAAUACCGGAGAAUGUUAUCACGGGAGACACACGGCGGGUGCUAACGUCCGUCGUGAAGAGGGAAACAACCCAGACCGCCAGCUAAGGUCCCAAAGUCAUGGUUAAGUGGGAAACGAUGUGGGAAGGCCCAGACAGCCAGGAUGUUGGCUUAGAAGCAGCCAUCAUUUAAAGAAAGCGUAAUAGCUCACUGGUCGAGUCGGCCUGCGCGGAAGAUGUAACGGGGCUAAACCAUGCACCGAAGCUGCGGCAGCGAACGUAUCACCCAAGACAACUUUACGGAGUUGACGAUUGACGGAGCGAAGCGACGUCAAAGCGUUCAUUAAAGUCGAGUUGGCUUAGGGAUACGUUCGUUGGGUAGGGGAGCGUUCUGUAAGCCUGUGAAGGUGUGUCGUGAGGCAUGCUGGAGGUAUCAGAAGUGCGAAUGCUGACAUAAGUAACGAUAAAGCGGGUGAAAAGCCCGCUCGCCGGAAGACCAAGGGUUCCUGUCCAACGUUAAUCGGGGCAGGGUGAGUCGACCCCUAAGGCGAGGCCGAAAGGCGUAGUCGAUGGGAAACGGGUUAAUAUUCCCGUACUUGGUGUUACUGCGAAGGGGGGACGGAGAAGGCUAUGUUGGCCGGGCGACGGUUGUCCCGGUUUAAGCGUGUAGGUGUGUGUUCCAGGUAAAUCCGGUUCACUUUAACACUGAGGCGUGACGACGAGGCACUACGGUGCUGAAGCAACAAAUGCCCUGCUUCCAGGAAAAGCCUCUAAGCAUCAGGUAACACGAAAUCGUACCCCAAACCGACACAGGUGGUCAGGUAGAGAAUACCAAGGCGCUUGAGAGAACUCGGGUGAAGGAACUAGGCAAAAUGGUGCCGUAACUUCGGGAGAAGGCACGCUGACACGUAGGUGAAGUGAUUUACUCAUGGAGCUGAAGUCAGUCGAAGAUACCAGCUGGCUGCAACUGUUUAUUAAAAACACAGCACUGUGCAAACACGAAAGUGGACGUAUACGGUGUGACGCCUGCCCGGUGCCGGAAGGUUAAUUGAUGGGGUCAGCGUAAGCGAAGCUCCUGAUCGAAGCCCCGGUAAACGGCGGCCGUAACUAUAACGGUCCUAAGGUAGCGAAAUUCCUUGUCGGGUAAGUUCCGACCUGCACGAAUGGCGUAAUGAUGGCCAGGCUGUCUCCACCCGAGACUCAGUGAAAUUGAACUCGCUGUGAAGAUGCAGUGUACCCGCGGCAAGACGGAAAGACCCCGUGAACCUUUACUAUAGCUUGACACUGAACAUUGAGCCUUGAUGUGUAGGAUAGGUGGGAGGCUUUGAAGUGUGGACGCCAGUCUGCAUGGAGCCGACCUUGAAAUACCACCCUUUAAUGUUUGAUGUUCUAACGUGGACCCGUUACCCGGGUUGCGGACAGUGUCUGGUGGGUAGUUUGACUGGGGCGGUCUCCUCCUAAAGAGUAACGGAGGAGCACGAAGGUUGGCUAAUCCUGGUCGGACAUCAGGAGGUUAGUGCAAUGGCAUAAGCCAGCUUGACUGCGAGCGUGACGGCGCGAGCAGGUGCGAAAGCAGGUCAUAGUGAUCCGGUGGUUCUGAAUGGAAGGGCCAUCGCUCAACGGAUAAAAGGUACUCCGGGGAUAACAGGCUGAUACCGCCCAAGAGUUCAUAUCGACGGCGGUGUUUGGCACCUCGAUGUCGGCUCAUCACAUCCUGGGGCUGAAGUAGGUCCCAAGGGUAUGGCUGUUCGCCAUUUAAAGUGGUACGCGAGCUGGGUUUAGAACGUCGUGAGACAGUUCGGUCCCUAUCUGCCGUGGGCGCUGGAGAACUGAGGGGGCUGCUCCUAGUACGAGAGGACCGGAGUGGACGCAUCACUGGUGUUCGGGUUGUCAUGCCAAUGGCACUGCCCGGUAGCUAAAUGCGGAAGAGAUAAGUGCUGAAAGCAUCUAAGCACGAAACUUGCCCCGAGAUGAGUUCUCCCUGAGACUUAGAGUCUCCUGAAGGAACGUUGAAGACGACGACGUUGAUAGGCCGGGUGUGUAAGCGCAGCGAUGCGUUGAGCUAACCGGUACUAAUGAACCGUGAGGCUUAACCUUACAACGCCGAAG